RNAcentral lists this ribosomal RNA (468 nucleotides) under uncultured bacterium. RNAcentral's name for it is "partial 16S ribosomal RNA". It matches the Rfam family "Bacterial small subunit ribosomal RNA", at positions 28 to 507 of the family's 1533-position model. The record is from RNAcentral.
GACGAACGCUGGCGGCGUGCUUAACACAUGCAAGUCGAACGGAAAGGCCCUGCUUUUGUGGGGUGCUCGAGUGGCGAACGGGUGAGUAACACGUGAGUAACCUGCCCUUGACUUUGGGAUAACUUCAGGAAACUGGGGCUAAUACCGGAUAGGAGCUCCUGCUGCAUGGUGGGGGUUGGAAAGUUUCGGCGGUUGGGGAUGGACUCGCGGCUUAUCAGCUUGUUGGUGGGGUAGUGGCUUACCAAGGCUUUGACGGGUAGCCGGCCUGAGAGGGUGACCGGCCACAUUGGGACUGAGAUACGGCCCAGACGCCUACGGGAGGCAGCAGUGGGGAAUAUUGCACAAUGGGCGGAAGCCUGAUACAGCAACGCCGCGUGCGGGAUGACGGCCUUCGGGUUGAAAACCGCUUUCGCCUGUGACGAAGCGUGAGUGACGGUAAUGGGUAAAGAAGCACCGGCUAACUACGUG